Molecule: ribosomal RNA, 253 nt
Filed under: uncultured bacterium
Lineage: Bacteria
Description: partial 16S ribosomal RNA
Rfam family: Bacterial small subunit ribosomal RNA
Source: RNAcentral
UACAGAGGUCCCAAGCGUUGUUCGGAUUCACUGGGCGUAAAGGGUGCGUAGGUGGUUGGGUAAGUUUGAUGUGAAAGCUCUGGGCUCAACCCAGAAAUGGCAUUGAAUACUAUCCAGCUAGAGGAGUGGAGGGGGGACUGGAAUUCCUGGUGUAGCGGUGGAAUGCGCAGAUAUCAGGAGGAACACCAGAGGCGAAGGCGGCCUACUGGGUCAGUACUGACGCUGAGCCGCGAAAGCCAGGGGAGCGAACGGG